RNAcentral lists this ribosomal RNA (497 nucleotides) under uncultured bacterium. RNAcentral describes it as "bacterial SSU rRNA". It matches the Rfam family "Bacterial small subunit ribosomal RNA", at positions 8 to 518 of the family's 1533-position model. The record is from RNAcentral.
AGAGUUUGAUUAUGGCUCAGGAUGAACGCUGGCGGCGUGCCUAACACAUGCAAGUCGAACGGGGUGUCUGAUCUUCGGACUGGACACUUAGUGGCGGACGGGUGAGUAACGCGUGGGUAACCUGCCUCAUACAGGGGGAUAGCAGUUGGAAACGACUGAUAAUACCGCAUAAGCGCACAGUACCGCAUGGUACAGUGUGAAAAAACUCCGGUGGUAUGAGAUGGACCCGCGUCUGAUUAGCUUGUUGGCGGGGUAACGGCCCACCAAGGCGACGAUCAGUAGCCGGCCUGAGAGGGUGAACGGCCACAUUGGGACUGAGACACGGCCCAAACUCCUACGGGAGGCAGCAGUGGGGAAUAUUGCACAAUGGGGGAAACCCUGAUGCAAGCGACGCCGCGUGAAGGAUGAAGUAUUUCGGUAUGUAAACUUCUAUCAGCAGGGAAGAUGAUGACGGUACCUGACUAAGAAGCCCCGGCUAACUACGUGCCAGCCGCGGC